Molecule: ribosomal RNA, 374 nt
Filed under: uncultured bacterium
Lineage: Bacteria
Description: bacterial SSU rRNA
Rfam family: Bacterial small subunit ribosomal RNA
Source: RNAcentral
UACGUAGGGUGCAAGCGUUAAUCGGAAUUACUGGGCGUAAAGCGUGCGCAGGCGGUUCGGAAAGAAAGAUGUGAAAUCCCAGAGCUUAACUUUGGAACUGCAUUUUUAACUACCGGGCUAGAGUGUGUCAGAGGGAGGUGGAAUUCCGCGUGUAGCAGUGAAAUGCGUAGAUAUGCGGAGGAACACCGAUGGCGAAGGCAGCCUCCUGGGAUAACACUGACGCUCAUGCACGAAAGCGUGGGGAGCAAACAGGAUUAGAUACCCUGGUAGUCCACGCCCUAAACGAUGUCAACUAGCUGUUGGGGUCUUCGGACCUUGGUAGCGCAGCUAACGCGUGAAGUUGACCGCCUGGGGAGUACGGUCGCAAGAUUAAA